Molecule: unclassified non-coding RNA, 354 nt
Filed under: Hevea brasiliensis (rubber tree)
Lineage: Eukaryota; Viridiplantae; Streptophyta; Magnoliopsida; Malpighiales; Euphorbiaceae
Source: RNAcentral
CCAAAAAAAAAAAAAAAGGAAGAAUUCCAACCAAAUGCAUAAAAGAGGCAAACAAAGAAAAAAAAUAAAUCACUGCAAGAAUGGACCAGUGCCACAAAAGUCUAAUAUACUACUUUAACAAUUCACAUUCCUACAAGGAUUCAUGGGUUCAAUCUAUAAAUGGAAAUGCAAAUGCCAAAAAUUCUAUCUGCAAAAUAAUGAGUGUCAAUACCCAAUUGCAAACCGCAGCGUCAUUCUAGAAACAAAAGCGUAAUUACAAUUCAAAUCAGAGAUAGAUUUAGAAAGAAUCAACAAAAAUCAACUGACCCGAAGUCAUCAGGGACAGAACGUGAAAUCCUCAUCUUCCUUCUAGCU